This 1020-nucleotide ribosomal RNA is filed under the name Triticum aestivum (bread wheat). Its description in RNAcentral is "partial small subunit ribosomal RNA". The record is from RNAcentral. Lineage: Eukaryota; Viridiplantae; Streptophyta; Magnoliopsida; Poales; Poaceae.
AUGGCCGGAGCCGGGGAAGACGAAGCAGCUCCUCCUCCCCAUCCCCCUUCUCUAGAUCGACAGCAGCCCAUGGAAGAGGCGCUGGCGGCGGCCAAGAGGAGAAGGUCGGAGCACUACCACGGCGUCGCCGACGGGCCGUCCUUCCGCAUGGAGGACCUUCCGGCGGAGGUUCAGCCGGUUAUAAUCUCACUGCUGCCACUGAAAGAGGCCGUGAGGACAAGCAUUGUUUCAAGAAGUUGGAGAAUGCUCUGGAGAUUCCACUGCGAUCUAUGUUUCAAUGAACGCGGUGAUGUGGAUUCUAACACCGAUGACAAUUCCGCUGAUCAGGUUAAUGGCACUGGCACCAAUGACCAAUCCACUAAUCAGUGUGGUACCAAAAUAACACGAGCAAAGUUCAUUGAGACUGUAAAUUCAGUUAUUCAACAGCAUAGUGGGGUAGGAAUCAAUAAGUUCAGCAUCAAGUGUGGCCUGCUCAUCGAGGACUCUGAACAUCUUGACAGGUGGAUUGAGUUUGCCGCUUCAUCAAAGGCAAAAACAAUAGAUUUUGAUUUGAAGAUAUUUGAUUACCCAGUUGAAGAAGUUCCCCAUUUUCCUCUUGAGGCCUUAGAUGCUCAAGGUAGCUCACUUGUGCAGUCCUUGUCUCUUGCCAGUGUUUCUAUAAAGCCAAGCUCAGGAAUAUGCCGCUUUACAAUACUCAGAAGGCUUGUUUUGAAAUCUGUUCAGAUAUUUGGAGAUUUUCCAGGCUUGCUUGCAAAUUGUUCAAGACUUGAGGACUUAGAGAUCAUCAGGUGUUCUGGUGUGGAUGACUUCAUCGUACCAAACAGACUCGAUAAACUUCAAAAUUUGCUGAUUGCUGGAACGGAUGUCCAGAUGGUUGUUAUUCAUGCAGCUGAUCUUGCUCAUUUUGAGUAUGAAGGACGACUGAUCCCUAUAGUGCUUCAUGGUUGCUCAAAAUUAGAGAAGGCAACAAUUGCGUUUGAUCCACUAAUCCUUAUGCACUGGCCCAUGCAUUCAAUAUAA